Molecule: long non-coding RNA, 904 nt
Filed under: Homo sapiens (human)
Lineage: Eukaryota; Metazoa; Chordata; Mammalia; Primates; Hominidae
Description: long intergenic non-protein coding RNA 2327
Source: RNAcentral
AGUGGCAACCUGCUUGGGUCCCCUUCCACCCUGUGGAAGCUUUAUUCUUUUGCCCUUCACAAUAAAUCUUGCUGCUGCUUACUCUUUGGGUCUACAUUACCUUUAUGAGCUGUAUCGCUCACCAUGAGGGUCUGCGGCUUCACUCCUGAGGUCAGCGAGACCACGAACCCACUGGGAGGAACAAACAACUCCAGAAGCACAACCUUUAAGAGCUGUAACACUCACUGUGAAGGUCUGUGGCUUCACUCCUGAAGUCAGCGAGACCACGAACCCACCAGAAGGAAGAAACUCCGGACACAUCUGAAAUCUGAAGAAACAAACUCUGGACACACCAUCUUUAAGAACUGUAACACUCACUGCGAGGGUCCCCGACUUCAUUCUUAAAGUCAGUGAGACCAAGAACCCACUGGAAGGAACCAAUUCUGGGCACAUAAAUAUGCAGCAAAAUACAAUAUGUCUCACUCCGUCACCCAGACUGGAGUGCGGUGGCAUGAUCUCAGCUCAAUGCAACCUCUGCCUCCUGCGUUCAACAUUUUAAAAAGGUUGUACAUCUAGCAAUACCUAACAAAAUAGGAAAUCAACUUGGAAAGCCAAUGGCUGUGUUUUGAGUUUAUGGAGAGCCAUAUGUGGCAAGGAACUGAGGGUGGCAUCCAGGCAACAGACUUCAAGAAACUGAGGCUGUCAGUCCAACAACCCACAAGAACUGAAUCUGACCAACAAUCACAGGAACAAACUUAGAAGUAUACUCUUUCCCAGACAAACCUUCAGAUGAGACCACAGCCCCAGCCAUAAGCUUGAAAACAAUCUCAUGAGGGACCUUGAGCCACAGGCAUGUAGUAAAGCUAUGCCAGGAAUCCUGCCUGCCCCACAGAAAAUGUAAAAAAAAUAAAUUUUUAUUGUUUUA